This 447-nucleotide ribosomal RNA is filed under the name uncultured bacterium. RNAcentral describes it as "bacterial SSU rRNA". It matches the Rfam family "Bacterial small subunit ribosomal RNA", at positions 329 to 793 of the family's 1533-position model. The record is from RNAcentral.
CUCCAGACUCCUACGGGAGGCAGCAGUGGGGAAUAUUGCACAAUGGGGGAAACCCUGAUGCAGCGACGCCGCGUGAGCGAUGAAGUAUUUCGGUAUGUAAAGCUCUAUCAGCAGGGAAGAAGAUGACGGUACCUGACUAAGAAGCCCCGGCUAACUACGUGCCAGCAGCCGCGGUAAUACGUAGGGGGCAAGCGUUAUCCGGAUUUACUGGGUGUAAAGGGAGCGUAGACGGCGAUGCAAGCCAGAUGUGAAAGCCCGGGGCUCAACCCCGGGACUGCAUUUGGAACUGUGUGGCUGGAGUGUCGGAGAGGCAGGCGGAAUUCCUAGUGUAGCGGUGAAAUGCGUAGAUAUUAGGAGGAACACCAGUGGCGAAGGCGGCCUGCUGGACGAUGACUGACGUUGAGGCUCGAAAGCGUGGGGAGCAAACAGGAUUAGAUACCCGGGUAA